RNAcentral lists this small RNA (24 nucleotides) under Arabidopsis thaliana (thale cress). Lineage: Eukaryota; Viridiplantae; Streptophyta; Magnoliopsida; Brassicales; Brassicaceae. The record is from RNAcentral.
AGGGAAAAACUGCCUUGGAGGCUG